This is a long non-coding RNA of Syzygium oleosum, 805 nucleotides long. RefSeq lists it as uncharacterized. Lineage: Eukaryota; Viridiplantae; Streptophyta; Magnoliopsida; Myrtales; Myrtaceae. The transcript is spliced from 2 exons. The record is from RefSeq and is a predicted model, not a curated record.
GUUUAAGCCCUGACAUUAGAGUAUUUCAGGAUCGUGUGAUAGAGAACGAGAUUUGGGUAAAUAACUAACCUACAUUCAGAUAUUAUGGGACAGUGAGGAUCAGUCAACAGUCUUGCUGAAAAACCUCAAAUACUGAAGCUGGUGGAUGAAGCAAAGAGUUUGGAGAUGGAGGUCCAGAGAGGGCGUGAUUCGAGUUCAGGUCACCGGGGAAGUGUAUAUGGUCAGAGAAGCGGGCCUAGUCCAUCGGAGUCGAGCAAUAUAAGGAGCAUCAUCAGUAGCCCCGGCAGCCGAAGCAGGAAAUGGCCCCAGUGAAUUGCUAAGCUAGCCUAAUCUUUAGUGCAUUCUGCAAGGUGUCGUAUCCGGGUGAUGUAUUUGCUUGCCCCGAUUUGGUUUUGCAAUCUUUUGAACCAUCCGUGGGAAGUGUAAGAUGUGAGGUUUGUUCGCGGUCCCUGUUCUUCAUCUGUAAAUCGCGUGGUCCAUUUUGGUCGGCCAUUAUACAUACAUUAGCGAAAAGGCGGACUUUCCGCAGCCACAUUGUAAUUGUUUAUCCGGCAUCAUUACUACAUGCUAGACGUGCAGACAUUCCAGACCUGGGGCAGCUGCAGAUGAAAAGCUCGAACUAGGAAAUUAGGAACAGUGGAAUCUCUUGUAAUCCUCAUCAUGAAAAGGAGCCUGAUGGCCAGUGACAUGAACCUUGAGCUGUGUGAUGAAUCUGUCGUUUGAGCUUUUGGUACAUCCACGCAAUUCACCAAACUAUUUGUACUGUAAUAACUUCAUAUAGACCUCCAAGACGACGGCUCUUAAC